CGAUGCAAUUCAAAUAGUA
RNAcentral lists this small nuclear RNA (19 nucleotides) under Arabidopsis thaliana (thale cress). Its description in RNAcentral is "snRNA_02304". Lineage: Eukaryota; Viridiplantae; Streptophyta; Magnoliopsida; Brassicales; Brassicaceae. The record is from RNAcentral.